UCCUUUCUCUUCCUUCCUCUCAACCGCGACGGACCACGGAGCAAGGGAAGGAAGGAUAAGGCAAAAAAAUGGUUGUAACACAGAGGAGGGUAACGCGUGCGAGGGUUGCCACUUUGUCCUAUAUUUCCGGCAACUGUCCUCACAUUAAUAUACAGGCCAUCUGGUGCCCUCUAAGUCACUCUGGGCCUGGGUUCUGAGUGCCCGCCGCUGCCCUGGGUACUGAGGUGUCCUGGGUGGGUGUGGCGGGGCUGGGCACGCCGAAGAGGACCCAAGCACAAUCGUCUGCCUGCUCUUGUGGGUCAUAAGUUUGUGUGGCGUGGAAACUUAAUUGCUUUUUUUUUUUUUUUUUUUUGCCACGAUGACUACUACGGCUACGACUACUACUACUACUACUACUACUACUACUACUAUUGUUACUACUUUUAUUGGUGUUACUACUAUUGUUAGCUAUUACUAUUACUAUUACUCCCAUGCUACUACUACUACUACUACUACUGCCAUGAUGUUACUACUACUACUACUACUACUACUACUACUACUACUACUAUAUUACUGCUACCUCCUCACUACAAUAAAAAAAAAUAAUAACAAGAAUCCUACGUCUAUAUCCGUUUAUGUAUUCACUAACCACGUCGGAAUGCGGAAAACACAGGUGAGUCAUUAGCCGGACGCACCUGGACGCUGUGACCCCGGGGACAUCACCAGGACAGGACAGGUCAGGUCACCCACACGAUGCACCUGGGCCAUGGAAACAGGUGCGGGGUCAGAGCAGGAGGGGGGGAGGGGCAGGGGGGAAGGGAGGAGGAAAAGGGUAUAGUGGAAGGAGAGGGGUAGAUAGAUUGGUACGCAUAGAUAAAUAGAUAGAAGAUAGAUACACACACACACACACACACACACACACACACACACACUUUAAUAACUCCUCUGGAAAUGCUCGAAACUCCUCCGAUAGCCUUGUCAAAUGUCUGUGCUUGCUAAAUGUCAAUAAGGAGAUCAGUUGGAUUCUAAUGAGCGUUUUAUGGGUCAAAUUGCUUACCAGGGUCAUUAAACUAUAAACUACCCAUGGAAAUGCCCGAAACUCCUCCGAUACCCUUGUCAAAUGUCUGUGCUUGCUAAAUGUCAAUAAGGAGAUCAGUUGGAUUCUAAUGAGCGUUUUAUGGGUCAAAUUGCUUACCAGGGUCAUUAAACUAUAAACUACCCAUGGAAAUGCCCGAAACUCCUUCGAUAGCCUUGUCAAAUGUCUGUGUUUGCUAAAUGUCAAAAAGGAGAUCAGUUGGAUUCUAAUGAGCGUUAUAAGGACCAAAUUGCUUACCAGAGUCUUUAAACUAUAAACUACCCAUGGAAAUGCCCGAAACUCCUCCGAUACCCUUGUCAAAUGUGCUUGGGCGCUGAAACGUUCAAGAAUUUAUGACCCUUCAAAAGCAUAGCGCCCCAGUUCUUGUAAUCAUUUUUAACGGAAUCGUAAUCUCCAUAAAGGUCACAUUAUUUUCUACUCGACCACAAAUGACAAAGAGAUGUCCUGUUUUGCGUCCUGAAGUUUGUCGCUUAUAUAGCAACACCAAACACUGUACAGGAAAUGGGGAGUACUCUAUAUAUCCUUUGGCAUUUGCGUAACUAUAGACAAAGCCAUCGUAUUGACCUAUUGCAUCAUUUUUUUUUUCAAACGUCUCUCUCUCUCUCUCUCUCUCUCUCUCUCUCUCUCUCUCUCUCUCUCUCUCUGUCGACAUUUAUUUGUUUCCGCUUUCUCUUUCACGUUUAAUUUUUUUUUCUUCCUUCCUGUCUUCGUUUUCUUGCUCUGCUUCCGGUUUUUUUUUUUUGUCUUCACUCACUUUGUUUUCCUCAUUUGUUUUUAUUGUUUUUCUUUGUGGCAUUUUCUUAUUUUCUUCCUUCGCUCUCGUCUUCGCUUUCUUCAUCUGUUUUAUGAUGUUUAUUGUCUCCGGUUUUUUUAUAAUAAUUUUCUUCCUUUUUUCAUUAACUUUGGCUUCGUUGUUUUCCUUUGUCUUCAUUUUUUUCUUCCUCGCUCACGUCUUAUCUAUUCUGCAAAUACCACAGUAAACCCUCACUUUUGUAUAUGCACCUCAAUAUAAGACAAACUUCGUUAUAUACCAAAAGUUCGGAUAUAACGAAUUUUCGGAUAUACCGUACGUCACCCUCUUCCCCUCAAUCGGUUGGUUAAAGCGAUUUAUUUCCUUCUUUGCUAUUUUCCUAUUUUCUUUCAUAUUUUCCUAUUUUCCUUUGGCUAUUUUUUUGCUGUUUUUAUUUUCAUUUUAUUUUAUUUUAUUUACUGUAUUUGUUUUGCCCCAUUUCAGCUUCAAGUUAUACAUACAAAGUUAUUUUAGCAAGGAUAUUUAUUUAAUUUCUUAUAUUUACACUUCUUUUAUUCUUAUUCAUCUAUUCCUUUCUUCUUUCUGAUAUAUUCUGACAUUUAUAGUUUUUUGUAAUUUAUCUGAGCUACGUUUAAAAAAUACAACAUUAUCCUAACUGAGAUACAUCACUUUUUUAUAUUUACAGCUAAACUCACAAUUUUUUCCCCCUUUAUGCAUUCAUUCAUCUAUUUUCUCCAUUUCUUAACUAUUUUGUGACAUUUAUAGUUUUCUUUUUUUCAAUCUGAGCUGCUUAUGGAUACAAAAUUAUCUUAACCGAGUGGAAUUUUUUCUUAUAUUUUGAGCUAAACUAACUUUUUUUUUCCUUGUGCAUUCAUCUGUCCACUUCUUUCCAUGUUCAUCGAUUUUGUGACAUCCGUAGUUUUUUUUUUUUUUUUCAAUCUGAACUUAUAGCUUAAAAUAUACAAAAUUAUCGUAAGUGAGACAGAUUCUUUCUUGCAUUCACAGCUAAACUUAAAGUAACAUUCACUCUAUUUUUUUUUCUUUCUCAUCCAAUUUGUAGCAUUUAAAGUCUUUCAUCUGAGCAAAGUUUAUGAAAAAAUACAAAUUCUUUCUUGUAUUCACAGAUAAACUUAAAGUAACAUUCACUCAUUAGCCUUUUUUUUCUUUUCUUUCCCAUCCAUUUUGUAGCAUUCAAAGUCUUUCAUCUGAGCAAAGUUUAUGAAAAAAUACAAAUUCUUUCUUGCAUUCACAGCUAAACUUUAAGUAACAUUCACUCAUUUUUUUUUUCUUUCCCAUCCAUUUUGUAGCAUUCAAAGUCUUUCAUCUGAGCAAAGUUAAUGAAAAAAUACAAAUUCUUUCUUGUAUUCACAGCUAAACUUAAAGUAACAUUCACUCAUUAGCCUUUUUUUUAUUUUCUUUCCCAUCCAAUUUGUAGCAUUCAAAGUCUUUCAUCUGAGCGAAGUUUAUGAAAAAAUACAAAUUCUUUCUUGUAUUCAUAGCUAAACUUAAAGUAACAUUCACUCAUUUUUUUUCUUUCAUCUGAGCUAAGUUUAAAAAAAUACAAAAAUCUAAUAUUCACAGUUAAACGAAAGACAUUUUUUUGUGUACAUUUAGUCAUUCAUUUACAUUCAUCCAUUCACUCUCUUUCAUAUCUAAUUUGUAACACUUAAAGUUUUCAUCUGAGCGAAGUUUGAAAAAAAAUACAAAAAUCGUCUUAUAUUCACAGUUAAACAUAAGACAAUUUUUGCGUACAUUUAGUCAUUCAUUUACAUUCAUCUCUCUUUCACAUCUAAUUUGUAACACUUAAAGUUUUCAUCUGAGCUAACUUUAAAAAAAAUAAAAAUUCUUCUUAUAUUCACAGUUAAACAUAAGACAAUUUUUGCGUACAUUUAGUCAUUCAUUUACAUUCAUCUCUCUUUCACAUCUAAUUUGUAACACUUAACGUUUUCAUCUGAGCUAACUUUUAAAAAAAUAAAAAUUCUUCUUAUAUUCACAGUUAAAUGUACGACAACUUACAUAUUCAUUUAGUCAUUUACAUUCAUCCAUUCACUUUCACAUCAAAUUUGUAACAUUUAGCUUUUUUAUAUGAGCUAAGUUUAAAAAAUAUACAAAAUUGUUCAUGUAUUCACAGUUAAACGUACGACAAUUUUCAUAUUCAUUUAGUCAUUCAACAUUCAUCCAUUCACUUUCACAUCAAAUUUGUAACAUUUAGCUUUUUUCAUCUGAGCUAAGUUUAAAAAAAUACAAAAUUGUUCAUAUAUUCACAGUUAAACAUACUUAUUCAUUCAUUCAUUCAUUCACUUUCUCAUGUAUUAUUCAUUCAUUCAUUCACUUUCUUAUGAUUGUAUUCUGUAAGCAAUCUUUUUUGUUUGUUUGUUUUCAUGGUUUGAGCUUCGAGUUUAAAAUAACCAAAUGGUCCCAAUAAGCCAGACAUUUCAAUAUUUUCAAAUCUUAUAUUUACAAAUCUAAACUUACAUUAAAAAAACAUUCAUUCAUUCAUUUUUAUAAUUUGUCUUUAUUGCCAGUCAGAUUUUUUUUUUAAGUUUAAAAUAACCAAGCAAAAUAUUCCAAAGCCUUAUAUUUACACCUAUCAAAAAAAAAAAGAUUGUUCAUUCAUCCAUUCAUCUGUUUAUAUAUAAUUUGUCUAUGUUGCCAGUUGUGUGUUUGUUUUUCCUCGUAUGAGAUUAAACGCUCAAAAUAUACAAAUAAGCACCAUCGAAGCAUUUAACUUUCUUAUAUUUACUUAAGCUUGUGUUAUUUAUUUUUAUACUUCAUCUAGUAUUUUUAUUUCUAUUUCAUCUAUGUUAUCUGUUUAUGUUUUCAUGUAGUAUUCCUUUUUUUUCCACUUUUGUCAACGAGAAUAAUGUCUUCAGUUAAGGACUAACACUAAUAUAUUUUUCACUAGACUUUUUUUCUCUUUCAUUAACUUGAGCUAUUUGAAGUUUAUAUAUUUACCUCAGUUGAGCUUUAUACACACACACACACACACACACACACACACACACACACACACACACACACACACACACACACACUUCAUUCAUCAAAUCACUUCAAUAAUUUUAUCAGUAAGUUUUGUCAUUUCCCUGUUUCACUUCACAACCUUGAUUUCAUGACCUUGCGUGACCUGACCUGACCUGAUGUAACCUUGCUACCUACCACGCCUGACCUGAUGUGACCUUGACCUUGUUAACUAUAAAAUCAUAACCUGAUCUCACUUGCUACACACCUAACCUGACCUUUUUUUUAACUAUCUCUCUACCUUACCUGACCUGGUGUGACCUUGAUCUUGCUAACUACCAAACACCUAACCUAACAUGACCGGUACUAUCAAGCACUUCAGGUUCUUGUUACGGUUAUUCUUUAAGGCCAGGGAGGAGCUAUGUCGGGCUGUCGUGUGUUUUCCCGUUCACAACCCCGCGGAGGCCUUGCAAACUACCGCCUGGCUCAUGAAACCACCCAUGGAACCCCCGAUAACUUCCGCGAGAGCCUUUUGAAUAGAUGGACUACACCUUCGAAGAGUCCGAUGAUAUGGACCUUAAUCGCUUCCCUCCCUUUCCACCCCCUAUGUCCUUAAUUAACAGAUCAUUACCUUCCUAAUAAACACCACAAGCAGGUUAUCUAAAUUAUUCACAACCAUUCUACAACCUUUGUCUUCAUUUUGUUUUGUAGUUGAAGUAUCGCGCAUCUUCGUUCUUUUUUUUUUUAACCUUUGAGUGUAUUUGUUUGUGCGUUUUGAAGUGUACGGAUUUUGGCUGUGGCGUGUGUAGCGGUAAUCGUGUAUCGUCUGUCUCUGUUUGUUUGUUGGAGUGUGUCGCCUGAAUUUCCAAACGUCGUGUUAGUCAGAAUCUGAUUUGUCUUUGUUUAACCCGUUUUUUUUUAAGGAUUUUUUUUUCUUACAGUAAAGGGAGUAGCUCAGGGGUAAAAAAAAUAUAUGAAAACAAAAAAGCCCACCAAUAAAUGAAAAAAACACUAAUAAAUGAGAAAAAAAACACUAAUAAAUGAAAAAAACACUAAUAAAUGAAAAAAAAACACUAAUAAAUGAAAAAAACACUAAAUGAAAAAAAAACACUAAUAAAUGAGAAAAACACUAAUAAAUGAAAAAAACACUAAUAAAUGAAAAAAAACACUAAUAAAUGAAAAGAAACACUAAUGAAAAACACUAAUAAAUGAAAAGAAACACUAAUAAAUGAAAAAUAAAAAGGAAAUAGGGUGGACAUUUGUUUUUCUUGGCAUCUUAUUUUUUCUUUCUUUUCUUUUCUUUUUUCUUUUUUAGUAUCAUCUUUCACGUCCAGAGAGAGUGUAACGCGUCGACUUAAUUAACUCCGUGAAAAUCCAACACUUCCUAACUGACUCACCCCAUCCCAAAAGGUCGAGUUUAAGAGACAAACUAACCAUUGCAAUGUUGGUACAAACACUAACGCAUGAACCCGUCUGGAAAUUCUGGCGCCCACGCUUAACCCGGUAGCUGCGGGGAUCGUGUUUCUUAAUGGUCCCUCUAAGCGAGAAAAAUGAGAAAAAAAUCAUCUCUCACACAAACCAUUUCAUAAUAUAUAUAUCAAAGCAUUUGUGAUCAGUUUAUGCAUCAUCUAUUUUGGGGGUUUAUAUCAUGGCACGAAUUUGGCCCGUCGCUGCUGCUACACGGUAAAGCCACAAAUUUGGCCCGUCGCUGCUGCUACACGGUAAAGCCACAAAUUUGGCCCGUCGUUGCUACACGGUAAAGCCACAAAUUUGGCCCGUCGCUGCUACACGGUAAAGCCACAAAUUUGGCCCGUCGCUGCUGCUACACGGUAAAGCCACAAAUUUGGCCCGUCGCUGCUACACGGUAAAGCCACAAAUUUGGCCCGUCGCUGCUGCUACACGGUAAAGCCACAAAUUUGGCCCGUCGCUGCUGCUACACGGUAAAGCCACAAAUUUGGCCCGUCGCUGCUGCUACACGGUAAAGCCAUAAAUUUGGCCCGUCGCUGCUACACGGUAAAGCCACAAAUUUGGCCCGUCGCUGCUACACGGUAAAGCCACAAAUUUGGCUCGUCGCUGCUACAUGAUAAAGCCAUAAAUUUGGCUCGUCGCUGCUACCGGGUUAACUAUAAGUGUAUCGCGUAUCUGUAACAGUAUUAUAAUCAUUUUCAACUACUGUCUAUUAGUGUAUUGCAGUGUAUGUUGGUUUGAUAUGUAUUUGUAUCAUGUAUCUAUCGCCCAUCUAUUUGUCUAUUGCAGUGUGUUGAUUUUUACUUCUAUUGUGUGUGGGUUUAUCUAUCCAGGGUAUGUGUUAUCUAUCCGUCUAUUGCAGUGUGUUGAUUUUUACUUCUAUUGUGUGUGGGUUUAUCUAUCAGGGGUAUGUGUUAUCUAUCUGUAUACAUAAGUCUAAUGAUUGCAUUGUUAAGAGCAUGUCUAUCUAUCAGUACUAUCUAUUAUCUAUCUAUCUGUGUAUUCAUUCCUGUAUUGCACGUUAUAAUUUUUGCCUAUAUGUGUUUUUGUUUUACCUCAUUUUUUUUUCUGAAUUCGCCUUUGAAAAAACGUUAUCUUGCUUGCUUUUAGGUUACUACACACACACACACACACACACACACACACACACACACACACACACACACACACACA
Eriocheir sinensis (Chinese mitten crab) is the source of this 7427-nucleotide long non-coding RNA. RefSeq lists it as uncharacterized. The record is from RefSeq and is a predicted model, not a curated record. The transcript is spliced from 2 exons. Lineage: Eukaryota; Metazoa; Arthropoda; Malacostraca; Decapoda; Varunidae.